Clupea harengus (Atlantic herring) is the source of this 3025-nucleotide long non-coding RNA. Lineage: Eukaryota; Metazoa; Chordata; Actinopteri; Clupeiformes; Clupeidae. The record is from Ensembl.
CUUCAUGUUGGUCACAAGCAUUCAUUGCAGAAUCUCUCAACAAAAGCUCCUCUGUCUAUAUGCACACACACAAAGUGCAUGUUGGGGCGACUGCACACUGAACACACUGUACAUAUGAGCAGGUCUGUUUCUCUGUGUUGGGGCAUGUUCGAGCCGACCUGCUCUGCACAGUCAGCUGGAGGUGAGAGAGAGCAGCGCGUUAGUGCUGUUGACACAUCACAGAUCUUUAAAGAGGCAUGCAACUCUGUGUCUCUAUCUCUCCCUAUCAGGGCACCCAUCUCCCCCCAUGUUAACAGGGCGUCUCUCUCUCUCGCUCUCAAUUUCUCUCUUUACCGGAUAUGUUUCUCUUCCCUUUACCUCUUCCCACAGAUCAUGUCCCCCCCGCCCCCCUUGCUUUUUAGAAGAUGGCUCCAUCUCUGUGUUCCGUCAGGUUGUCUCUCAUUCCCUAUCUCUCCCUCCCUCUCUAUCUCUCUCUCCCUACCCAACAGAAUCUCUCUCUCUCUCCCUUCAGAAUGUCUCUCUCUCUUUCUUUCUUUCCUGGCAGGGCGUACCACAUGUCAUCUUCCUGGCUGCUUAUCAGAGGCUCCAUCAGCAUUCCUCCCCCUGUCUGCCCUGCCCCUGGAGCUGUUCAUGAAGGCCUCGACCUGGAGCUGGAGCACUUGCUACACUUCACACCUCGCUCAGGGCCUGUCAGUGGGGGUACGAAACUCAUUAAAGUCAGAUCAGCACUCCUUCCAGACUAUGACAUCUGAUAGUGGUAGCCGUUCCGGACGAACACCAUGUAGGGUAUGGUGACAGACAGUAGAUGACUCACUCUGACUGGCAGGGGUGCACGCACACACACACACAUACACACAAAAACACCAUAGCCUCCUCUUUGCCAAAAUCAGUCAGCCCUCACAGGCAUAAAUGCACUGUAGGUCAAAGAAACGUAGCAGAAGUUGCCAUCUUCAAACAGACAAGAUGUGUCCAGCCCGCACCUGCAUAAGUGCAAAAAAAGAGUAGAACAAACACAAUCACGAGUAAACGCAAUCUAAUUAGCUUUUAAUUGCAUAACGAAACAAAACGGUUGUUCUUAAGACAUUAGAGGCCUAGUGUUGUAGUUGCAUGCUAUGGUCUGCAUAACGGGAGUAUGACUAGCUAAAAAGAAAUUCCUCAGUACUUUGAAAAAUUCGCAAGUUGCAUUAGGAUUUCCCAGGUACUUUCCAAGAGCACCGCCCAAGCGGACGCAUUUGUAGGUCACGGGCUACAGUUCUGUCAAGCGACGCCCCGUCUUUUCCCCGUCCCGAGGAGCUCCAUCUACACUCACCACUGCCAGGAAUCUCGCCAAACCCCCCAGACACAAGUGAUUACAGUCAAACCAGGAGAAAGGCUAGGACAGCAGUAGAGGAGUUUUUGUUUUUAGAGGUGUUAUCCAAGUUUGCAUGAUAGGUGCUUCUGUUUCAGUCAGAGUGUGAUCAUCAGAGCACCCUGUCAUACAUCAUUGAAUGCAUAAUUCGCAUUUCAAAGCUGUAGUGCUAGAGGUAGCAUACAGUAAGGCGUGAAUGCAGUUUCCUAGUUUGAUUGAUAGUAUGUAAUUAAACCCAGAUCACAGCCCAGUCAGGAGUGUAUCGCUGGGGGGCAAGAAUGUCGAGUGAACCCCUCCAAGCUUCCACCCCGAGUGAAGAACUGUGAACAGGGCUGUCAUUUAGCGCGCACCGUUUCUCAAUCUCUUCUCCUGCAAAACUGUAAACCACUGUUGCAUCAUGACGGAGAGGUUGUCGGUCGAGCAAAUAGACCUUACACCAUAACUCACUCACACACCAGACCUCAACCAAUCCAAACUAUGUGAAACAACACGUACACAACGUGACAUAGCCCACAAAGACAGCGCGUUUAGAAUAGGGAGAAGAGGGAGGGGAUUUCUUUUGGUAGUAAACACCAUAUCGUGCACCACUUAACACUCCCAACUCCCCUUGCAAAUCCAGGACAGUGUUAUUCUUAAAUUAAUUUACAGGAGGAUCAUUCAUUUAGGACCGCUGUUGUUGAGGACUGUGGCUUAGGUUGUUGUAUUAGGACACAACAGCUGAUGGGACAACAAAACUGCCAUUAGCACCGUAUGGCCACUUCACACACUCAAUGAUUCGGUUGUACACUAGCUACAUGCAGCGAUUUAGCUGUGAAAGCUCGUUAAUCUAUACCUGUUUUAUGUGUGUUAGGCGAAUACAGGCAAAGCCACAGGCUUUUAGUUAUCUUACCAGUUUAAGUUGGAGCAGUAUGCCAGGUGGUGAAGGAAAAGUUAACUACAUUCCCUCCUCCAUGCACUUCGAAGAAGCGAUUACCAGCAGUCCAACUGUCAGAACGGAUGUUUUCAUUCGCCUCGGAGGGAUCGGUUCACACCCGCCGAACGACUUCAAAUAUCAAUUUAGGACAAACUGGAGAAAAAGCCCUACACGUGCAGCCGACAGUCUUUGUUUUGAGAGAAACAAUAAGGACAGCGUCGCUUAUGGGAGAGGAAGACGAAAGCUUUGACUGGAUUAAAAAAAAUACAAGCUUGGCAAUCCUUACAGGCGGAGGUGGCUUUCUAAAAUAGUAACGUCCAAAUCACUCCCUAAACACGCGGAGAGUGCGGGACACCUCACACAUCCGUGGCUUGGUCUCUCCUCUCUCUGCCCCUCCAGUGAAGUUUAUUUUCCAAUCGCGUUGCAAAGUUGAAAUCCCGCCCCUCUCCUUCCCGGCGAGUCUCGCAAUCUCUGGCUGUGGGCAAUCCCACUCGUCAGUCAGUGCACACAGACAGCCCGAGACAGUAUACUAUGGGUUACGUGCUGAGCCGAGAACUGUCGGGUGCCAGGAAAGCUGUUGACAAAAUCACUGGUAAAAGUUCAUACAUAUUAAACACAUGGACUGUAAUAGAAUUGUUACACGCCAAAUUAUGUUAGUUGUUGAACAGCCAAAAAGUAGAACAGAUGGAGCCGAUCUGGCCUGAUGACAAUUGGCCUGUCUCGUAUGACUGAAUUUGUAUGAAGCUGACACAUUUAAACAAUGC